This 1444-nucleotide long non-coding RNA is filed under the name Anas platyrhynchos platyrhynchos (common mallard). Its description in RNAcentral is "lncRNA (ENSAPLG00000027788.1)". Lineage: Eukaryota; Metazoa; Chordata; Aves; Anseriformes; Anatidae. The record is from RNAcentral.
CUCCGAGGAGCCCGCCCGCCUCUCCCGCUCCGCAUGUUGCAAUGCUGCUGGCUAAUCACUAUUUUUUUUUUUUUUUUAAUUUUUAAACUCCAUUCUUCCAAAGCAGUGCCUAAAGUUUAACCAAAAAGACUAAUAUAUUAAUAUAUACGAUUGUUCUGACAGUAUUUGUAUAUUAAGAGAUGUGAGAGAGAACACACUACCCUCCCAGAUCCGCAGCCCCGGGAGCUUGCUGCCGUUCGUGCCCUCUGCAGAGCAGAUCCUGCCCAGCCACUCGGACACAGCAAAGCAGAACCUGAAAACAGUUUUGUGUUUUUGAUCUAACCACUUAGCGACUCUUUUGUAAUUAAAACCUACCGGCUUCACCCCCGCACCUUGAAGGAGGAGAUGGCGCUGUCCCUGCGGCGUGCCCGGCUGGGAUGGAGGAGGACGCUGCCACGGGCUCCCCCGCCGCUCAGCACCGGGCAGCCCGAUCCGAUCCCCUGCACCACCCUGGAGCCACCCGGACCCUUCCACCUGCCCUCAGCACGGCAAAGGGGCUCUGCACCCCUCCCGAGCUGCCCCAGCUCCUUUCCUUGGCCUCCCGGCACAGCCCUGCCGCCGCCGCGGACCCGGUGCCCGACCAUGUCUUUUUCCAGUCCCACCAAAGAUGUCCCCUUGCCGCUGGGCGAGUUCCUCAGCUGGGUCUCCGACGUUAGCAGGUCGUGGAUCGGCUCGAGGGGAGCCCUGGACGCGGCAGCGCCUCGGCUGAGCUCAGCUGCGCAGACACGCUUCGCUGCGGAUGGCACCGGGCUCUCUGGGACGAGCACGGAGGGGCUGUCACCAGAGGCGGAGGAGCUGGAGAGGGCGCAGCAGCGGGGCGAGGGGACGGAGUGGCGGCUGGAGGUGCACGAGCAGCUGCUGGCCCUGCGGCACUGGCUGGACGCCGUGGAGAAGAGGCUGCCGGAGCCGGGCCCUGCGCUGCAGGUAUCGGGCUGGCCCCGGGCGAACGGCGGCCGGCAGAGCCAGGCAGGACCCAGCCCACGGUUCACAGAGGCUGGUGAGGUCUCGGUCCCCAAACGGGACAGCGCCUGGCUGCGGCUGGUGGCAACGACACGGCCCUGCCAACCUCCCCCUGGCACCGAGGGAGCAGGCAGGGGGCUGUGUCCCCACGGCGCUCACCCAGACCUGCCCAUGGCACGGCUGCGCCUCCGUACCCCACCGCCACCUCCUUUGGCUGCGGAGGGCUUGGAGCCUCGAGCCCCCACUGGCAGCCAGUCCCUGCCACCCCCUGCCCCUGGCUCAGCCCCGUCCUGCGUCCCCUGCAUCCAGCCAGGGCCGUGCAGCUGCGCAGGGAGGGCUGCACGCGCUGCCCAGCCGUGUCCCCGCCGUGUGCCCAUCUGCUCGCAGGGCCCUGCCAGCAGGGUGUGAGGCGUCCCCCUGGUGCGGGGCAGCAGCGGGAGCACCC